This 5776-nucleotide long non-coding RNA is filed under the name Canis lupus familiaris (dog). Its description in RNAcentral is "lncRNA (ENSCAFG00845029373.1)". The record is from RNAcentral. Lineage: Eukaryota; Metazoa; Chordata; Mammalia; Carnivora; Canidae.
UUUCCCGAAUGUAUGUACUUUCAAUGGCAAGCUUCGCUGGAAUCGGAUUUAAUACAGGGACCCUCCCCCCUCCGCCACACAUACACACACACACGUACACACCACGCUUUCUCUUCCAGAGGGUCAUUUCACGCCAGCUGUACUUAAAGGCUUUGUUGAAAGAAGACCAUGAAAUGACAAAAUCCGAAGUCUUCACAGGGCGAGGUUGGGACGUCAAGGGUGUGCAAGUGUCUUAAAAUUGUGGAUUCGUCAACGGGAAUCAGGAUGGAAUUUAGCGCUUUUGGCUGCAUGAUAACGAAGCUAAGUUUAAGAGAACCGGACUCCCUGUAUAGAGAGGGGAGACAGAACUCUGGGGAAAACAGGAUGAUUGCGAGACCAGGACGAUGAUCUACAAAACCAAAACCAUGGUUUGCUGAGUUUUGGAAGAGAGUCUCUGUUGGUUCCCUGGGACUAUCCUGGGUCUGAGUUACUACUGCUUGGGAUGCUCCCGGGAACGUGCAUUGACAGAGCUAAAAGCAGAUUGAUAGAUGAAGCAUAAAACAAGACCAGAUGCUGUGGUUUCCAGGAUGCACUUGGCUUCCCAUCCUUUAUAACCUGGAGCAUUUAUUGCUGGCAUCCUUAGUCCACAUCAACCAAGGUGGUAUAAAAACAGCACUGCACUUGGUUUGCAUUCUGUGCCCUGAAGCAGAAAUGCCUUUAAUUGUUCAUUGUGAAAUAAACAGAUGUCUACUGGAGAAGAUUAUUAAAAACAUUUUGUGCACUUUGGGAGAACUAGAGGUCAGGACUGCUUGACCUAGCAUCUCAAAGGAAACCCAAGCCAACCCAGCUACCAAGGUGAACAAGGAAGAUGGUGGUCCUAUGAGCAACAGCAGCCAGUGGCCUGGCACUGCACCCUGCGAGGCAGCCAAGACCAAGGUACUAUGUCCAGGAAAGAAAUUUCAGAUAAGACUUAAGUCUCAGAGCUAAGUCAACAGGGAUUUGUUUGUUUUGUCCUUAGAAAAAUAGACUGUUUCUAUCCACUAGCUUUGUGCCUCCUCCCAAGUUCCCAGGCUUCAUAAAACUUAUGUUGAGGGUUUCAAGUAUUCCCAAAUUAAUUGUUAAGUACCACGACUUGUUCCUUAUUGACCUCCUUUUCCUCUAGAGCUUCCUGAAAUGUAAAACCUGUACAUCUUUUAAGAAGCACAACACACUUAAGUGUGACUAAGUAGCAAACCUCCACCAAAGAGAACUGUCUAUCAUAUUUAGAAAAGAUAAAAUUUCCCUUAUAAGCUAGGUCUGACAUUAGGUUUUUCUAUGGUGUUCUUUCUGAAGUUGCUGCAAGAUGGAAAAAUAUCAAUCACAACGAGAGUACCUUUUGAACUCAUUAAUCCUAAGACAUCAUUAACAGGAAGGCUUUAAUGCCUAGGAUCUAGAACUGCUUUGUCAUUAAGUAGAAUCAUGGAAAUUAAAUGGUGCCCCCGCCCCACCCCCCAUUGGGCCACUAGGUUAGGUUUAAAACAUUAAAUGUAAAUUAAGGAUACUAUAUUCAUGUGGUCGAAAAAUCGAAGGGCAUGAAGCAAUGGCAUAACAUACAAUGGGAAGUACGGCCCUUGGAGCUGUGGAACUUGGCAGUGCUGUAAAUGUCACCUUCCCACUUGUCUCAUAGCCAUAUCACUAUAUUAAUAAGGAAAAUCUUUUUUUUUUUUUUUUUGAAAGAGAGAGAUAGGGAGGGAGAUCAGUGGAGGGAAGGGCAGAUCUUAAGCAAGAUCCAUACUCAGUGUGGAGUCUGUCCCAGGGCUUGAACUCACAACCCUGAGAUUGCCACCUGAGCCAAGAUCAAGAAUCAGGUGCUCAACGACUGAGCCACCCAGAUGCCCCAUUAAGGAGAAUCUUGAAAUGUAGAGGCGAGUCGGAGGAAAAUGGAAAUAGAUUGGCAGGGAUGGCAAGAAAGAGGGCAGGAAAAGGAGAAUAGGAGGAUGGAAGGAAGAGGGUGUAGCCCAUUGGGGCUGAGACAACUAAUAGCUGGGUAGCUUCUAAGCAAUGGAAAUGUGCUUCUCACAGUUUGGGAAGCCGAAAGGCCGACAUCAGCCCGCCUGCAGGAUCGGGUUCUAUGGUGGGGGCGAGCUUCCUGAAUCCUGGAUGGCUGUCUCCCCCGGGGGAACCUCACCUGGCCUGGGGAAGGGAAGGGCGCCUUCCAGGCCUCCCGUCUAAGGGCACUUCUCCAUGUGUAAGGGCUCCACUCUUCUGACCCAAUCACCUCCCAAAGGCCCACCUCCUCUUACCGUUACCUUGGGGUUAGUUUCAACCUAAGUUUUGGAGGAGGACACCAACAUCAGUCCUCGGCCACCUGGGAGAACCAGGGCUGUACACAAAGGAUCAGCCUGGUCCCAGCCCUCUCUUGCAAUUGUCCUUUCAGGGGACGUGUAUUUGUGUAAGAAUGGAAGAGGAAGGAGCGCCUCGCUGGCUCAGUCAGCGGAGCGUGGGACUCUUGAUCUCAGGGGUGUGGGUGCGAGCACCGUAUCGGGUGUGGAGAUUACUUAAAAUAAAAUCUUGGGGCACCUGGGUGGCUCAGUCAGUUAAGCGUCUGACUCUUGAUUUUGGCUCAGGUCAUGAUCUCAGGGUUGUGGGAUGGAGCCCCGCCUCAGGCUCCACGCUCAGCGCAGAGUCUGCUUGAGAUCCUCCCUCUCCCUCUCCCGAGCUGACUCUCUCUCUAAAAUAAAUAAAACCUUUAAAAAAAAUCUUAAAAAAAAAAAAAAAAGAAUAGAAGAGGAAGAAAUGGGAAGAGUAAAAAAAAAAAAAAGACAUUUAUCUGGGGAAGUGUGUGAGUGAGCCACUGGGAAUUCUGCACCACGUGAAACUCUUGAAUAAAUUUGCUUGUAUUGCUUCCCCCCUAACCCCCCAAUAUCCCUUUUAUCUAGCCUCAGCCAAGUAUAUUUUAUUAUUUUGAGGUUUAGGCUUUAGGGAAGAGUUCAGAACUAGUAGGAGUCAAUAGUGGGAGAGAGGCAAGCAGGGUUUCUCCUACCAGGAACAAACUAACCUUCCUGUGGGGCGCUGGCCGCGUGCGGGGAGGUGGGUUCUGGGGUGUGCGAGCGGCUCCGUUUACACUGCUGCUGGCCCUACAGCAGGUGGCGGUGUUCCUUCUCUUCCCGGCAGCUUUGGCGUUCCCUCUUCUGUGUUUCAAUCCACAUGUAAAGGGCUGCCUCCCUGGCGCCCUUGGGAGAUGCUCCAGUGGUCCUGGCAUGAGGAGAAGCAAAUGGGCAACGUGUAGCAAUCCGUGGUUUUGUGUUUGGUCUGUAGAGCCCUGAUCUGGUCUAGAGAACCACCCCGCUUCAGGGGGAGACCGUGAGUGUCACUAAUCAUAUUGUGUACUCGCCCCCGUCUCCGCUGUACUAGACCCUAUUCGGAUCCUCAGGGAAGCUUCUUGCUCCCUUUGCUCACGCCUGUCCGAGGCUUGAGAAUACUAAUAAAAGCUCUCUCUAGCCAAAUUUCUCUCUAAUGAACGUGUUUGGAUUUUCAUCAAAAUGAGGUUUUCUUCCCAGCUUUAUUCACGAAUUAACCCAGGCUGUGAUCCAGGGUCCCUCACUGGGAAGCUACAUAAUCUGGGCAUAUAAACCCUCUGGGCUCCCGGUCAUCAUUUGUAAAAUGGGAUUGGUAAACUAAGGGACUUUUGAGGUUUCUCCUAGCUCUUAUACUCUUGGAUCCUCAAAUAGUCGGCCACUGCCCUGCGUGGUGGUUGUACUGUGAUACCGGAGGAGUAAUUCUGAUAUUUUCUUUGAGCAACUGCUUCAAAGCAAUGAGCAAAUAGCUUCAUGCUAUUAUUAAAUAGCAUGAAAAGUCAGAGUAGAUUGAGGGGAAACAGUUGAUCUGUGGAGAGGGGGUACUCAGGGUCAGGUACAGCAUGUCCACUACACUAGACACCACGUAUGACAGAUAUUCUCACGUAUUUCUGUGGUGCAGCAGACACUGGCCAUGCAUUCAGCCUUAAAUGCUAGAACUUCCUUAGCGUGCUCAUUUAUUUAAAAAUGAAAUCAGGGUUGGGCUGUCUCCCUGGUUUAGUUGAUAUUUUUCUGAUGACGGACAUUUGUUGAUUUUUAGACUCAAUUCUUCUAUUGGGUGAAAUUUUUUUUUUUUUUUUUUUUUACCUUAUGAAAACACUAAGCCAUCAUUGUAAAGAACUUUCAACCCAUACAGAAAGGAAGAAGUGGAAAGAAAAGUUCUCCCCCUGAAGCCCUCCCUCCCCAUCCUGUAGACAGAGAUAAGCAGUGUUAUCUUCUCGUUUAUCCUUUCUGAUAUUUUCCAUGGAUUUAUACAAACAUGGAUAUAUGUAUUAUCACUUCUGUUUUAUUUCAUUGAAUUUUCAUGAAUAAUUUUAUAGCACGUAUUAAUCCUAGAGUAGAAAUAUGCAUGUAACACAGAGGAGAGAGCCAGUGAAAAAAAUCAUAGGGUUAGGGAGCAAGAUAGAUGACAAACAGAAAAAAGUUUUUAAUCAAAUUGUCAUGAUAGCAAUGAUUUUUUUUUGUGAUUUAUUUAUUUGAGAGAGAGAGAACACAAGUAGGAAAAGGAACAAAGGGGAGGGAGAGAGAGAAUCCCAAGCAGACUCCCCACUGAGUGCAGAGCCCAGCGCAGGGCUGGAUCUCAGGACCCUGAGAUCACGACAUGAGCCGAAAUCAAGGGUCAGAUGCUUAACCGACCAAGUCACCCAGGCACCCAGAUAGCAAUGAUUCUUAAAUGAUGGAGGUUCUAGGAAGAAUUGACCAGGGAAGAUUGUCUGUUUUAAGGAGACAUUUCUAGGGGAGUGGGGUGUGGUCAUGGUGGUAGAGGGCCACCAGCAAUUACGCUGUCUCUCUCCAUGCUUCCUACUAAGAGGUAGAGUCUCUUUCUCCUCCCCGGAAUUCUUGACAGGCUCCAUUACUUGCUUUGGUCAAUAGAAUGCGGCAAAAAUGAUGCUAUUCCAGUUCUGGGCCUAGACCUGGCAACUUUAGUGUUUGCUUUCUUGGAUGAUAAGGAAGACUGACAACGGUGCUGAAGACAACAGCCUCAUGGAGGCAGUGAGACCUAAGGAAGGAGACAGGCCCAGCCCCUCACUAUUUCAGGCACUCCAGCUGGGCCCUAGCCCCGUGCUUGAUAUCAUCAUGGGUCCUCCAGCCCCAGUCAAGCCACCCCAGCCAACAGUACAUGAAGGAAAGACAAGCUGUCAUUGUGUUCUGUCCCUAGUGCAGAAUGGCGAGUGAGAGAACAGUCGAUGCUGUUGUAAGCUGCCAUGUUUCAGGGGUGGUGUAUUAUGCAUAAUAGAUAACGGAAAUCCAUGUCUGAAAGUUGGGUGUUGGCUUGAAAAAAAUCUAAGACACGUGGCAUUGGCUUUGGGACCAAGCAUUGGGUAGAGGUUGGAGAGGUGAUGAGGGAACUCUCUCUCUCUCUCUUUUAAAUUAACUAGUUAUUUUUUACUUUCUAUUUUUUUAAAAGAUUUUAUUUAUUCAUGAAAGACACACACACACACACACACAGAGGCAGAGACACAGGCAGAGGGAGAAGCAGGCUCCACACAGGGAGCCGGACGCGGGACUCAAUCCCGGGGUCUCCAGGAUCACGCCCUGGGCCGAAGGUGGCGCUAAACCGCUGAGCCACCAGGGCUGCCCUACUUUCUAUUUUGAAACAAUUUUAGACUUACACCAAAGUCGUAAAAAUGGUACAGAGGUCACGUGUGUUCUGCACCUAGCUGCCCUAAUAGUAAUAAAUGCAUAACCACAGAGUAAUGAUCAACACCCAGAAAUCAACAGAAGCUACAGCCCUGUAUGAA